CGGAAAACUAAAACGCUGCACAAGACACCAAGCGAUUACAGUGAGGAGGACCAUUCACAACGUGAGAGAUCACCCUCACCAAAGCAUUGCUAAGGCUGACCCUUUUCCUAUGCCGGAUGCAAGACAGUCGCCCAAGUCCGGUUGAAGAAUUCUACUUCAAGGUGAAUAAGAUUGAAGAUGGAAGAGCAGCUAAUGGAGAAUAAUUUUAGAAAAUACAUGAUAUCUCAAAGCUGUGUGGGAAGACAUACUAGACCGGUUGAAAAGAGCAAUGCACCGAAACCUGACAAACAGCCUCAUGUCAACAAUGAAUAUGAAAGGAAAUAAAGGGAACAGGGCCUUUGAGGACUCCAACCUUUGCAGCGUCAUCAUAGCAGGUGUGAGUCUUGGCAAAUCAAAGGCUACAGAGGCGGAAAUGCUACAGGUGAUGUCAACCUGCCUGAAAUAUGCACCUUACCGCAAAGGGGGCCAGUGGGAGGGCCAAUGAGGAAGAGGAUGAAAGAGUUCUUAAGAAGUUAAAAUCAUCAAAGCCUUUUCCGACAGUGCCUUUUUUAAAUUAUUGUAUAUAUCAUUUGCUUCCAGAAGCUUGUGCCAGAAAUGCCUUUUACAUUUUUUUUAAUAAAGAAAAAUGUGGCUUGUA
Oncorhynchus masou masou (cherry salmon) is the source of this 637-nucleotide long non-coding RNA. RefSeq lists it as uncharacterized. The record is from RefSeq and is a predicted model, not a curated record. The transcript has 6 exons. NCBI's taxonomy places the organism in Eukaryota, Metazoa, Chordata, Actinopteri, Salmoniformes, Salmonidae.